This 282-nucleotide long non-coding RNA is filed under the name Gossypium raimondii (Peruvian cotton). RNAcentral describes it as "long non-coding RNA (GRAI_LNC006645)". Lineage: Eukaryota; Viridiplantae; Streptophyta; Magnoliopsida; Malvales; Malvaceae. The record is from RNAcentral.
GCGGGGGGAGGCCGAGACGUGCGGCGAUUGGGCGUCUGCUGGAGAUUGCUGGGGCUUGCGUCGGCGCUCCUUGCUGUUUAGGGCUAGGGUUCUUUUUGUUUUUUAUUUUGCUUUGGGCCAGGGUUGUUUUGGGUUAUUGGGCCGUGUAAAAUGUAGGCCUAUUUAUUAUUUUUUUUGUUUUGGUUUAUUAUGUGGGCCCAGGGUCGAUUGGGCCCUAUUACAUACAUCAACCUCUCACCGGCAGAAAUUUUUGGAAUUUCGACGUAAUUUUUUCAAUUUUCC